GCCUGGGUGGCUCAGUCCGUUAAGCGGCUGACUUUAGCUCAGGUCAUGAUCUCACAGUUUGUGGGUUCAAGCCCUGUUUCAGGCU
This 85-nucleotide transfer RNA is filed under the name Felis catus (domestic cat). It matches the Rfam family "tRNA". Rfam says of the family: Transfer RNA (tRNA) molecules are approximately 80 nucleotides in length. Their secondary structure includes four short double-helical elements and three loops (D, anti-codon, and T loops). Further hydrogen bonds mediate the characteristic L-shaped molecular structure. tRNAs have two regions of fundamental functional importance: the anti-codon, which is responsible for specific mRNA codon recognition, and the 3' end, to which the tRNAs corresponding amino acid is attached (by aminoacyl-tRNA synthetases). tRNAs cope with the degeneracy of the genetic code in two manners: having more than one tRNA (with a specific anti-codon) for a particular amino acid; and 'wobble' base-pairing, i.e. permitting non-standard base-pairing at the 3rd anti-codon position. Lineage: Eukaryota; Metazoa; Chordata; Mammalia; Carnivora; Felidae. RNAcentral also lists the same sequence under 2 other names. The record is from Rfam by way of RNAcentral.